AAUGAAUUGCCUGAUAAAAGGGCUAUCUUGAUAGGGUAGAUCAUGUGAUAAAGUAUUACAUUCAUUA
Molecule: transfer RNA, 67 nt
Filed under: Platypeza sp. XL-2018
Lineage: Eukaryota; Metazoa; Arthropoda; Insecta; Diptera; Platypezidae
Description: tRNA-Ile
Source: RNAcentral